Molecule: ribosomal RNA, 237 nt
Filed under: Kempella stridulans
Lineage: Eukaryota; Metazoa; Arthropoda; Malacostraca; Stomatopoda; Squillidae
Description: partial 12S ribosomal RNA
Source: RNAcentral
UUGGCGGUACUUCAGUCUAGUUAGAGGAGCUUGUUCGGUAAUCGAUAAUCCGCGAAAAAUCUUACGUAUUUUUGUAAUCAGUUUAUAUACCGCCGUUAUUAGAUAAUAUUAAAAAGUAUUAAAUUAUCUAAAUAUAUUUAAAUAUAAUAUAUCAGGUCAAGGUGUAGCUUAUGAGUGCGUCCUGAAUGAGCUACAUUUUAAAAAUAAAUAUGGAUUUUGUUUUAAAAAAAACAAUGA